UCGACGGCAGCACGGGAGCAAUCCUGGUGGCGAGUGGCGAACGGGUGAGUAAUGUAUCGGAACGUACCUUUCAGUGGGGGAUAACGUAGCGAAAGUUACGCUAAUACCGCAUAUUCUGUGAGCAGGAAAGCAGGGGAUCGCAAGACCUUGCGCUGAUUGAGCGGCCGAUAUCAGAUUAGCUAGUUGGUGAGGUAAAGGCUCACCAAGGCGACGAUCUGUAGCGGGUCUGAGAGGAUGAUCCGCCACACUGGAAUUGAGACACGGUCCAGACUCCUACGGGAGGCAGCAGUGGGGAAUUUUGGACAAUGGGCGCAAGCCUGAUCCAGCCAUGCCGCGUGAGUGAAGAAGGCCUUCGGGUUGUAAAGCUCUUUCAGCCGGGAAGAAAACGCAUGGGUUAAUACCCUGUGUGGAUGACGGUACCGGAAUAAGAAGCACCGGCUAACUACGUGCCAGCAGCCGCGGUAAUACGUAGGGUGCGAGCGUUAAUCGGAAUUACUGGGCGUAAAGCGUGCGCAGGCGGUUUGUUAAG
RNAcentral lists this ribosomal RNA (529 nucleotides) under uncultured bacterium. RNAcentral describes it as "bacterial SSU rRNA". It matches the Rfam family "Bacterial small subunit ribosomal RNA", at positions 62 to 587 of the family's 1533-position model. The record is from RNAcentral.